Molecule: ribosomal RNA, 276 nt
Filed under: uncultured bacterium
Lineage: Bacteria
Description: partial 16S ribosomal RNA
Rfam family: Bacterial small subunit ribosomal RNA
Source: RNAcentral
UGGGGAAUAUUGGACAAUGGGCGAAAGCCUGAUCCAGCCAUGCCGCGUGUGUGAAGAAGGUCUUCGGAUUGUAAAGCACUUUAAGUUGGGAGGAAGGGCAGUAAAUUAAUACUUUGCUGUUUUGACGUUACCGACAGAAUAAGCACCGGCUAACUCUGUGCCAGCAGCCGCGGUAAUACAGAGGGUGCAAGCGUUAAUCGGAAUUACUGGGCGUAAAGCGCGCGUAGGUGGUUCGUUAAGUUGGAUGCGAAAUCCCCGGGCUCAACCUGGGAACUG